RNAcentral lists this ribosomal RNA (1373 nucleotides) under uncultured bacterium. Its description in RNAcentral is "16S ribosomal RNA". It matches the Rfam family "Bacterial small subunit ribosomal RNA", at positions 28 to 1381 of the family's 1533-position model. The record is from RNAcentral.
GAUGAACGCUGGCGGCGUGCCUAAUACAUGCAAGUCGAGCGAACGGACGAGAAGCUUGCUUCUCUGAUGUUAGCGGCGGACGGGUGAGUAACACGUGGAUAACCUACCUAUAAGACUGGGAUAACUUCGGGAAACCGGAGCUAAUACCGGAUAAUAUUUUGAACCGCAUGGUUCAAAAGUGAAAGACGGUCUUGCUGUCACUUAUAGAUGGAUCCGCGCUGCAUUAGCUAGUUGGUAAGGUAACGGCUUACCAAGGCAACGAUGCAUAGCCGACCUGAGAGGGUGAUCGGCCACACUGGAACUGACACACGGUCCAGACUCCUACGGGAGGCAGCAGUAGGGAAUCUUCCGCAAUGGGCGAAAGCCUGACGGAGCAACGCCGCGUGAGUGAUGAAGGUCUUCUGAUCGUAAAACUCUGUUAUUAGGGAAGAACAUAUGUGUAAGUAACUGUGCACAUCUUGACGGUACCUAAUCAGAAAGCCACGGCUAACUACGUGCCAGCAGCCCCGGUAAUACGUAGGUGGGAAGCGUUAUCCCGGAAUUAUUGGGCGUAAAGCGCGCGUAGGCGGUUUUUUAAGUCUGAUGUGAAAGCCCACGGCUUUACCCUGGAGGGUCAUUGGAAACUGGAAAACUUGAGUGCAGAAGAGGAAAGUGGAAUUCCAUGUGUAGCGGUGAAAUGCGCAGAGAUAUGGAGGAACACCAGUGGCGAAGGCGACUUUCUGGUCUGUAACUGACGCUGAUGUGCGAAAGCGUGGGGAUCAAACAGGAUUAGAUACCCUGGUAGUCCACGCCGUAAACGAUGAGUGCUAAGUGUUAGGGGGUUUCCGCCCCUUAGUGCUGCAGCUAACGCAUUAAGCACUCCGCCUGGGGAGUACGACCGCAAGGUUGAAACUCAAAGGAAUUGACGGGGACCCGCACAAGCGGUGGAGCAUGUGGUUUAAUUCGAAGCAACGCGAAGAACCUUACCAAAUCUUGACAUCCUUUGACAACUCUAGAGAUAGAGCCUUCCCCUUCGGGGGACAAAGUGACAGGUGGUGCAUGGUUGUCGUCAGCUCGUGUCGUGAGAUGUUGGGUUAAGUCCCGCAACGAGCGCAACCCUUAAGCUUAGUUGCCAUCAUUAAGUUGGGCACUCUAAGUUGACUGCCGGUGACAAACCGGAGGAAGGUGGGGAUGACGUCAAAUCAUCAUGCCCCUUAUGAUUUGGGCUACACACGUGCUACAAUGGACAAUACAAAGGGCAGCGAAACCGCGAGGUCAAGCAAAUCCCAUAAAGUUGUUCUCAGUUCGGAUUGUAGUCUGCAACUCGACUACAUGAAGCUGGAAUCGCUAGUAAUCGUAGAUCAGCAUGCUACGGUGAAUACGUUCCCGGGUCU